RNAcentral lists this ribosomal RNA (304 nucleotides) under uncultured bacterium. RNAcentral's name for it is "partial 16S ribosomal RNA". It matches the Rfam family "Bacterial small subunit ribosomal RNA", at positions 509 to 808 of the family's 1533-position model. The record is from RNAcentral.
CAGCAGAGCCACGGUAAUACGUAGGGCGCAAGCGUUGUCCGGAAUUAUUGGGCGUAAAGAGCUCGUAGGCGGUCUGUCGCGUCUGGUGUGAAAUCCCGAGGCUCAACCUCGGGCUUGCAUCGGGUACGGGCAGACUAGAGUGCGGUAGGGGAGACUGGAAUUCCUGGUGUAGCGGUGGAAUGCGCAGAUAUCAGGAGGAACACCGAUGGCGAAGGCAGGUCUCUGGGCCGCAACUGACGCUGAGGAGCGAAAGCAUGGGGAGCGAACAGGAUUAGAUACCCCCGUAGUCCCUGUCUCUUAUACA